This 467-nucleotide ribosomal RNA is filed under the name uncultured bacterium. Its description in RNAcentral is "partial 16S ribosomal RNA". It matches the Rfam family "Bacterial small subunit ribosomal RNA", at positions 28 to 507 of the family's 1533-position model. The record is from RNAcentral.
GACGAACGCUGGCAGCGUGCUUAACACAUGCAAGUCGAACGAUGACGACCGAGCUUGCUCGGUCUGAUUAGUGGCGAACGGGUGAGUAACACGUGAGCAACCUGCCCUUCACUCUGGGAUAACCUCGGGAAAUCGGGGCUAAUACCGGAUAUGAGCUCCUGUCGCAUGGCGGGUGUUGGAAAGUUUUUCGGUGAAGGAUGGGCUCGCGGCCUAUCAGUUUGUUGGUGAGGUAGUGGCUCACCAAGGCGAUGACGGGUAGCCGGCCUGAGAGGGCGACCGGCCACACUGGGACUGAGACACGGCCCAGACUCCUACGGGAGGCAGCAGUGGGGAAUAUUGCACAAUGGGCGAAAGCCUGAUGCAGCGACGCCGCGUGAGGGAUGACGGCCUUCGGGUUGUAAACCUCUUUCAGCAGGGAAGAAGCGAAAGUGACGGUACCUGCAGAAGAAGCGCCGGCUAACUACGUG